GAUGAACGCUGGCGGCGUGCCUAAUACAUGCCAGUCGAGCGAACAGACGAGGAGCUUGCUCCUCUGACGUUAGCGGCGGACGGGUGAGUAACACGUGGAUAACCUACCUAUAAGACUGGGAUAACUUCGGGAAACCGGAGCUAAUACCGGAUAAUAUAUUGAACCGCAUGGUUCAAUAGUGAAAGACGGUUUUGCUGUCACUUAUAGAUGGAUCCGCGCCGCAUUAGCUAGUUGGUAAGGUAACGGCUUACCAAGGCAACGAUGCGUAGCCGACCUGAGAGGUGGGCAGGCCGCCUGGGAGGGUGACCCGCCACCCGGGCCCGGAGGGAGGGCCCAGACGGGAACUCGCCGCAACAGGGGGAAAUAUUGCAGAAUCAGCGGCGGGGGGGUGAAGAAGCUCUGCGGACCGUAACACGUUUUUAUGGGGGAAAAACAAAUGUGUAAGUAACUAUGCGUGUGUGAAGGUAACUUAUAAAGAAACCCCGGCUAACCACGGG
This 497-nucleotide ribosomal RNA is filed under the name uncultured bacterium. RNAcentral describes it as "partial 16S ribosomal RNA". It matches the Rfam family "Bacterial small subunit ribosomal RNA", at positions 28 to 507 of the family's 1533-position model. The record is from RNAcentral.